RNAcentral lists this ribosomal RNA (492 nucleotides) under uncultured bacterium. RNAcentral's name for it is "partial 16S ribosomal RNA". It matches the Rfam family "Bacterial small subunit ribosomal RNA", at positions 29 to 507 of the family's 1533-position model. The record is from RNAcentral.
AGUGAACGCUGGCGGUAGGCCUAACACAUGCAAGUCGAACGGCAGCACAGUAAGAGCUUGCUCUUACGGGUGGCGAGUGGCGGACGGGUGAGGAAUACAUCGGAAUCUACUUUUUCGUGGGGGAUAACGUAGGGAAACUUACGCUAAUACCGCAUACGACCUACGGGUGAAAGCAGGGGAUCUUCGGACCUUGCGCGAUUGAAUGAGCCGAUGUCGGAUUAGCUAGUUGGCGGGGUAAAGGCCCACCAAGGCGACGAUCUGUAGCUGGUCUGGGAGGAUGAUCAGCCACACUGGAACUGAGACACGGUCCAGACUCCUACGGGAGGCAGCAGUGGGGAAUAUUGGACAAUGGGCGCAAGCCUGAUCCAGCCAUACCGCGUGGGUGAAGAAGGCCUUCGGGUUGUAAAGCCCUUUUGUUGGGAAAGAAAAGCAGCAGGUUAAUACCCCGCUGUUCUGACGGUACCCAAAGAAUAAGCACCGGCUAACUUCGUG